AACGAACGCUGGCGGCAUGCCUAACACAUGCAAGUCGAACGCAUGUAGCAAUACAUGAGUGGCGAACGGGUGAGUAACGCGUGGGAACCUGCCUAGUGGUAGGGAAUAACCGCGGGAAACUGCGGCUAAUACCCUAUGAGCCCUCCGGGGGAAAGAUUUAUCGCCAUUAGAGGGGCCCGCGUCGGAUUAGCUAGUUGGUGGGGUAACGGCCCACCAAGGCGACGAUCCGUAGCUGGCUGAGAGGAUGAUCAGCCACACUGGGACUGAGAUACGGCCCAGACUCCUACGGGAGGCAGCAGUGGGGAAUAUUGGACAAUGGGGGCAACCCUGAUCCAGCAAUGCCGCGUGAGUGAAGAAGGCCUUAGGGUUGUAAAGCUCUUUCGGCGGGGAAGAUGAUGACGGUACCCGCAGAAGAAG
Molecule: ribosomal RNA, 417 nt
Filed under: uncultured bacterium
Lineage: Bacteria
Description: bacterial SSU rRNA
Rfam family: Bacterial small subunit ribosomal RNA
Source: RNAcentral